RNAcentral lists this ribosomal RNA (718 nucleotides) under uncultured eukaryote. Its description in RNAcentral is "SSU rRNA". It matches the Rfam family "Eukaryotic small subunit ribosomal RNA", at positions 591 to 1319 of the family's 1831-position model. The record is from RNAcentral.
CUCAUAGCGUAUAUUUAAGUUGUUGCAGUUAAAAAGCUCGUAGUUGGAUUUCGGGUGUGGGGCGCCGGUCCGCUUCGGUGUGCACUGGCGGCCCAGGCCUUCUUGUCGGGGACGCGCUCUGGCUUUCACUAGUCGGACGCGGAGUCGGCGCAGUUACUUUGAAAAAAUUAGAGUGUUCAAAGCAGGCUUUCGCUUGAAUACAUUAGCAUGGAAUAACAUGAUAGGACUCCGAUCCCAUUGUGUUGGUCUUCGGGACUGGAGUAAUGAUUAAGAGGGACAGUUGGGGGCAUUCGUAUUUCAUUGUCAGAGGUGAAAUUCUUGGAUUUAUGAAAGACGAACUUCUGCGAAAGCAUUUGCCAAGGAUGUUUUCAUUAAUCAAGAACGAAAGUUGGGGGCUCGAAGAUGAUUAGAUACCAUCGUAGUCUCAACCAUAAACGAUGCCGACUAGGGAUUGGCGGAUGUUACUUGAUGACUUCGCCAGCACCUUGUGAGAAAUCAAAGUCUUUGGGUUCCGGGGGGAGUAUGGUCGCAAGGCUGAAACUUAAAGGAAUUGACGGAAGGGCACCACCAUGGCGUGGAGCCUGCGGCUUAAUUUGACUCAACACGGGGAAACUUACCAGGUCCAGACACAGUGAUGAUUGACAGAUUGAGAGCUCUUUCUUGAUUCUGUGGGUGGUGGUGCAUGGCCGUUCUUAGUUGGUGGAUUGAUUUGUCUGGU